Molecule: transfer RNA, 77 nt
Filed under: Bdellovibrionales bacterium CG10_big_fil_rev_8_21_14_0_10_45_34
Lineage: Bacteria; Pseudomonadati; Bdellovibrionota; Bdellovibrionia; Bdellovibrionales
Description: tRNA-Arg
Rfam family: tRNA
About the family: Transfer RNA (tRNA) molecules are approximately 80 nucleotides in length.
Source: RNAcentral
GACGCUGUAGCUCAGUUGGAUAGAGCACUAGUUUCCUAAACUGGGGGUCGCAAGUUCAAUCCUUGCCAGCGUCACCA